This 251-nucleotide ribosomal RNA is filed under the name uncultured bacterium. RNAcentral describes it as "partial 16S ribosomal RNA". It matches the Rfam family "Bacterial small subunit ribosomal RNA", at positions 524 to 775 of the family's 1533-position model. The record is from RNAcentral.
UACGUAGGUGGCGAGCGUUAUCCGGAUUUAUUGGGCGUAAAGCGUGCGCAGGCGGUUUAUUAAGUCUAAAAUUAAAGUCCGAAGCUUAACUUCGGUUCGUUUUAGAAACUGAUAGGCUAGAGUGCGGUAGAGGCAAAUGGAAUUUCUAGUGUAGCGGUAAAAUGCGUAGAUAUUAGAAGGAACACCAGUGGCGAAGGCGAUUUGCUGGGCCGCAACUGACGCUCAUGCACGAAAGCGUGGGGAGCAAAUAG